Drosophila ananassae is the source of this 776-nucleotide long non-coding RNA. RefSeq lists it as uncharacterized. The record is from RefSeq and is a predicted model, not a curated record. The transcript has 3 exons. Lineage: Eukaryota; Metazoa; Arthropoda; Insecta; Diptera; Drosophilidae.
GGCAAUGACUUAGCGAAUUUGUAAUCUAAAAUAUAUAGGAGACUGGCACCGAUCCACGCCCACUUUCGGAUCAUUCAAUUAAAACGCUUACGAAUUAUUAUUAUUACAAACAAUGUGUCGAGGGCCUGGAAAAGUGAUGCCAAUCUAGUUGGCUGCAGGAAGUGCCCAAAGUACCCAGAACAAUUCAAAAAUACCGAAUGACGGAAGUGGAGUUAACAAGCGUGGCGGACCCGAAAGUUCGUCGCCUAAGUCUUUCGUUUAGACAAAUGGACAGAACAUGGACUUUAAAAUUAAUUACUUAAUUUAACACAACAAGCGGCCGGCGACACCUUCCACGAUGAUGUUUCAGGCGACAACAACGGAAAGCACUAAACAUUCGUUCGACCCCAGGCCGAAACCUGUUGGCGAUCACUGUACAAUCACAGAGAGUCUGUGUAUCUCUGUGAGUAACUGUGAUCGGCGACGAUCCUGGGCUGGACGAGCGGGCUUAACAGAUUAGUUAGCAUAUCCCAUAUCAGGAACACUCUGCGAUAUGGCACGUCCCGGUCUUGAACUCCGCCGAGGAUGAGUUUCGAGUCAUUAAGUUUGUAGCCCUUGGAGAAGGGGGCUCUUGACAAUUUGCAUUAUGCUGGCGAUCGAUCAGUGAUCGGUGAAAUUUAACAGAUAAUGAACACCGGAUUGGGCACCCUCAGUAGGUGGGGGCAGGGGACUGCAGGGCGAAAAAAAAACUACAGAGAAACCCAAACUCAAUUAAAAUCCGAAAUAACUUCAAGACG